Molecule: signal recognition particle RNA, 232 nt
Filed under: human gut metagenome
Description: Bacterial large signal recognition particle RNA
Rfam family: Bacterial large signal recognition particle RNA
About the family: The signal recognition particle (SRP) is a universally conserved ribonucleoprotein involved in the co-translational targeting of proteins to membranes. Archaeal SRP consists of a 7S RNA and homologues of the eukaryotic SRP19 and SRP54 proteins.
Source: RNAcentral
ACCGGGGCGGUAGCGGUGCCCUGUACUUGCAAUCCGCUAUAGCAAGGGUUAUGUCUUUUAUGAGGGUUAUUCUUUGUGCGGUCUUGCGCAUUGCAAGUGGUGUUGAGAGCAAGGUCUUACGCAAUACACAGCUGUGAACCCGGUCAGGUGGGGAACCAAGCAGCCGUAAGCAGUUUUGCUGUAUGUGCCGUAAGCGCUCCUUGUUUGAGCUAACUGCAAUGCAGCGCGCGGA